This 504-nucleotide ribosomal RNA is filed under the name uncultured bacterium. Its description in RNAcentral is "partial 16S ribosomal RNA". It matches the Rfam family "Bacterial small subunit ribosomal RNA", at positions 30 to 523 of the family's 1533-position model. The record is from RNAcentral.
AUUGAACGCUGGCGGCAGGCCUAACACAUGCAAGUCGAACGGUGGCACAGAGAGCUUGCUCUCGGGUGACGAGUGGCGGACGGGUGAGUAACGUCUGGGAAACUGCCUGAUGGAGGGGGAUAACUUCUGGAAACGGUAGCUAAUACCGCAUAACGUCGCAAGACCAAAGUGGGGGACCUUCGGGCCUCACACCAUCGGAUGUGCCCAGAUGGGAUUAGCUAGUAGGUGGGGUAAUGGCUCACCUAGGCGACGAUCCCUAGCUGGUCUGAGAGGAUGACCAGCCACACUGGAACUGAGACACGGUCCAGACUCCUACGGGAGGCAGCAGUGGGGAAUAUUGCACAAUGGGCGCAAGCCUGAUGCAGCCAUGCCGCGUGUAUGAAGAAGGCCUUCGGGUUGUAAAGUACUUUCAGCGGGGAGGAAGGCGGUGAAGUUAAUAACUUCACCGAUUGACGUUACCCGCAGAAGAAGCACCGGCUAACUCCGUGCCAGCCGCCGCAGUAA